AAGACGACACAAAGCAUAGACAGGUAGUAUGUCGACUUAAUUUUGGCACAAAUGGAACCCCAUAAGGGAGGACUGGCUGGUGUGUUUGCUGCUGUACUUCCCUCUGAAAAGUUUGCGACUUUUUAAGGAGGUUCUGACCCGCACCGUAGUGCUGCAGAAAGCUGCCAGGCUUCAUGUAUCUAGGUGACUGAUCUCCUGCGUUGCAGUGAGCCGAGUUAAAGUUAAGUAACCAGUUUGUUUGUUUUAAAAGGAGGAACAUACUGUACAAGGUGUGUCCGUCUGGAGAUUUUAAAAGUGAAACUUUUUUUUUUUUUUUAGUUUUUUUAAAGUGAAAGAAAGAGACAGUCGAGGCUGAAACUUGAGCAACACUAUGCUGGGGAAUGGUCGAGUAUACGCGGUGAAGAGGAGGAAGAAGCCCGUUCUGAAAAGUGUGAAGCCUCCGCCCGUGAAGACCAAUCCGUCUAAGCGCCACCGGGACCGUCUGAACGGAGAGCUGGAAUGCCUCACCAGCAUGCUGCCGUUCUCCGACGAGUUCAGAAGUCGCCUGGACAAACUCUCUGUGCUCCGGCUCAGUGUGGGCUACCUAAAGGUUAAGAGUUACUUCCACGCAGCGCUCCAGAAGCACACGAGGUCGGCUUCUCUUGCGUCUGCAAACGGCAGAAAUGGGCCGUCGGUGUCUCUGGAUGGAGUCAGUUUCUCAGAGGGGGAACUCCUUCUCCAGGCUUUAAAUGGCUUCGUGUUGGUCGUGACGAGUGAUGGCACGAUCUUUUACGCAUCUCCGACCAUCCAGGACUUCCUCGGCUUCCAUCAGUCGGAUGUGGUCCAGCAGAGUGUUCAUGAUCUCGUUCACAUGGACGACAGAGAGAUGUUCAAAUGUCAGCUCCACUUCGCCCUCAACCCAGGCGACACGCACUCAGACAUCAGAGCAGAAGAUAGGCAGUCGAGCAGUAAAGCUGCGAGCAGCUCUGUGCGCUUGUUGCCUCAGUACAUCCCUCCAGAGAACUCCUCUUUCAUGGAAAGAAGCUUCUGCUGUCGCCUUCGCUGCCUCCUGGACAACACCUCUGGAUUCCUGGCUCUAAACUUCACCGGACGUCUGAAGUUCCUGCAUUUGCAGGGAAACACAGGGGCUGAUGGGAUCGCUGCUCCCCCUCAGCUGGCUCUGUUUGCCAUCGCCACUCCUCUGCAGCCUCCUUCAGUCAUGGAGAUCCGGACUAAGACUCUCAUCUUCCAGACUAAACACAGCAUGGACUUUGCUCCUGUGGGCAUAGACACCAGAGGGAAACUGGUUUUAGGAUAUUCCGAAACAGAGUUGGUCACAACAGGCUCUGGCUAUCAGUUCAUCCACGCUGCUGACAUGAUGUACUGCGCUGACAACCACCUUAAGAUGAUGAAGACUGGAGAAAGUGGCUUCACCUUCUUCAGGCUGCUGAUCAAAACAGGACGCUGGUUGUGGGUUCAGGCCAACGCCAGGGUCGUCUUCAAGGACGGGAGACCAGACUUCAUCAUCGCUCGUCAGAAAGCCCUCACAAACGAAGAAGGAGAGGAACACUUGCACCAGAGAAGAAAGCAGCUCCCGUUCAACCUCACCACCGGCGAAGGUGUCCUGUACGACGUUUCUCUGGAGUCCAUCCCUGGUCCCCCUGGCUCCGGCACGCCGGGCACCACAGAGCCCACAACAGAGAACCCUCUGGACCCCGCCUCCCUCCUGGGAUGCCUUCUCAGGCAGGACCACUCUAUUUACACCCAGCCACCGAAACCCAGUGCCCCCCUCCCAAUCUUCACCCAAAUAGAGGACCCUGAUUUUGAACAACCGCAGCCGUCCUUGGAGCAAGCCUUCCUGGACAGCCACGCUCUGCUCAGCGUGCCGGGCCAGAUCCAGGCCUCACAGAAGAGGUCGGUCACGGGGGACCGCACAACAGAGGCCAUGAUUGACUCGUUGGAGCAGAUUUUGGGGGAUAUCGGGGAUGGAGGGAUAGAGGGUCUUGAAGUUGAGGAGAGAGAGCUGAGGGACUGGGAGAAGACCCUCGUCAGGAUGAAUGAAGAGAGGGAAGAUGUAUCGAGGAAACUGGAUCAAAUUCUGGCCAAUGACGUGUUCUCAUAUGUGGAGGAGGCUCUGAGGAAAGAGACUGGAGGGUAUGUGCAGGACUCCAAUUUUCUGGGUUCAGCUUCUGGGUCGAUUAACAGUUUAUCCAUGCAAGGACAGCAUCCUGGGUCUGUGUUUUCAAACAAUGAGUGGCAGCAAGUGACGGACAUGACAUCUGGCUUCGCAGAGCACGCUCUGUCGGGAGAUGUCCCUGGUGGCGUUGGUUGUUCGACUGGACUGAAAGGUGCUUCUCAUUUUGUGCCUCACACUCAGUGUCUUAACGCUCACCAGGGACACGCCUCUUCCCUGUGGCCUCCAAGCAGCGAUCACCACUGUGGCAACCAAAUGACUUCAACACAACCCUCCCACGCUGAAGUGACACAACACUCGUGGCUUCCAUCUGUUCAAAACACCAACAACUUCCAUAACAGCAGCCAUCAAUCUUGCUUGAACCAAAGCGUACAGUACACGCUAACGAGUUCACAUCAGACUUGCAUAGGGCCACAGCUUCAGAGCCCGUCGGCGUGGCAACAACAGCAGCAGCUGCCGCAGAGUUUUCACCAUCACACGCUGACACAUUCCUCGCACACACCAGGCGGCGUGAACUCAACGCCUCAGUCGUUCCACCCGGAAACGCGGAGCCCGUACGGCAGCUGCGUGUAUGAAAAAAGAGAAGGUCGCAUACCGAACGCUGCUACUGUUCCUAUCGGACAGAACGGGCCUCUCCGGGGACCUUCGUGCUCCGGAGGAACCACAAACGCUCCCUUUUCCGUGCCCCAUCCAGGCACGGCGGUCGGAGUCUUCAACCAGGGGACGAUGCAGUCGUCUGCGGCUGGCUGUACAGAUGUGGGCAACAUCGGCUUAGUUCACCCGAGUGGAGACAGCUGUGGCCUGGGAACAGCUCGAUCAGGAUAUCCUCCUGAAAACGUAUCAUAACAGUCGCCAUUCUUCUGAAGGAACGAUGAAGCUCAGAUCCCCAAAGUUCCCCCUGAAUGGUGCAGUUGACCCGUUUGCCUUCCCUGUCCUCCCUACUGGGAGCAUCAACCUUUCCCAAAAACACUGGCUCAUAGCCGCCUCUGCACCUCGCUCAGAGACUCCGACUGGACUGAGAGCCGAGCGCGAGCAUGACGGGGAGUUUCCCUUCUGCGAUACUCAUGAUAUUUUAUAGAUGUUGUGUCUGCUGUGGCUCAGCAAGAAAUAUGAACCUUCUCAUUUCAAACUAAAAUACUUUUGCUGCAUUAAAGUAUUUUUUUUUUCUGGAAUUUUCGACAGAAAUAUUUAUCAAACAACCUUAACCAAUAAUGAGCUUUGUGCACAUAUUCAUGCCGCAAGUAACCAACAAUGUUGUGAAGUGUCCUGUCAGCUGAUUGGAAUCUGGACCCAGCAAGAUUUUAGCAAGUGGACUUGAAGAAAUCCUGACUACAAUCUAUUAUAUCACAUAAAAGUGUGAGGAAUAAAAGGACACGUGCUCUUAUAGAACUUUUCCUGUACAUCACAAUGUGAAUCUGUGAACUUUGUGUUGUUCUGUAAUGUCAUUGUGGUUCUUUUUUUAUAUUAUUUUUUUUGGCAUUUUAGGCCUUUAUUUUUUAUAAGAGACCUGAAGACAUGAAAGGGGAGAGAGAAGGGGAACGACAUGCAGCAAAGGGACGCAGGUUAGUCGAACCUGCUGGGCGCGCGCUCUACCAGAAACAGAUGAUAUGGGAGAGAUGGCAGCUGUCAUGCUCAGUGUGAACUGAUCUGAAUUUAGAAGUUUGACUCUAUACGUGCUUUAUAUUUCAGUUUUAAUCCAUCUCGGCUCUAUCAAAGAACUUUAAUAUGAUUUGCCUUGUCAAGUAUAUCAUAUUCAUGCAUUUCUGCGUGUUGGAGAUGGACAUAUUAUUAUGCUUCUGUAAUUAUCAGUAAUGUUACACUCUGUAGCUGCUUUGUAUUCCCUUUCUACAAGACAUAUAUAACCAUUGGGGACAAGUCUAAUUUAUUUUGCAAUUAAAGAACUGUGACCCCUCUGUUA
RNA transcript from Perca flavescens (yellow perch), 4091 nucleotides. It is a transcript of the gene named aryl hydrocarbon receptor, with no coding region annotated. Lineage: Eukaryota; Metazoa; Chordata; Actinopteri; Perciformes; Percidae. The record is from RefSeq and is a predicted model, not a curated record. The transcript is spliced from 12 exons.